This 363-nucleotide ribosomal RNA is filed under the name Triticum aestivum (bread wheat). Its description in RNAcentral is "partial small subunit ribosomal RNA". The record is from RNAcentral. Lineage: Eukaryota; Viridiplantae; Streptophyta; Magnoliopsida; Poales; Poaceae.
AUGAAAGGAAAAUCCUGCCGAGGCAAUCGUAUUUGUUUUGGUAGAUAUGCUCUUCAAGCACUUGAACCCGCUUGGAUCACGGCGAGACAGAUAGAAGCAGGACGAAGAGCAAUAACACGAUAUGCACGUCGUGGUGGAAAAAUAUGGGUACGUAUAUUUCCCGACAAACCGGUUACACUAAGACCCACGGAAACACGUAUGGGCUCGGGAAAGGGGUCCCCCGAAUAUUGGGUAUCCGUUGUUAAACCUGGUCGUAUACUUUAUGAACUGGGGGGAGUAUCUGAAACUGUAGCUAGAGCAGCUAUCUCCAUAGCUGCCAGUAAAAUGCCCAUACGAAGUCAAUUUAUUCGAUUAGAGAUAUAG